UACGUAGGAUGCGAGCGUUGUUCGGAUUUAUUGGGCGUAAAGCGUGCGUAGGCGGUUACAAAAGUCUGGUGUUAAAGCUAGGGGCUCAACCCCUGUGAUGCACUGGAAACUAUGUGACUUGAGUGCGGUAGGGGAAGGUGGAAUUCCGAGUGUAGCGGUGAAAUGCGCAGAUAUCGGGAAGAACACCCGUGGCGAAGGCGGCUCUCUGGGACGGUACUGACGCUGAGGAGCGAAAGCGUGGGGAGCGAACAGG
This 253-nucleotide ribosomal RNA is filed under the name uncultured bacterium. RNAcentral's name for it is "partial 16S ribosomal RNA". It matches the Rfam family "Bacterial small subunit ribosomal RNA", at positions 524 to 776 of the family's 1533-position model. The record is from RNAcentral.